Molecule: long non-coding RNA, 2259 nt
Organism: Xiphias gladius (swordfish)
Lineage: Eukaryota; Metazoa; Chordata; Actinopteri; Istiophoriformes; Xiphiidae
Exons: 7
Source: RefSeq, a predicted model, not a curated record
AAAAUGUUGCAGAACACAGUUGAGAACAGCAUCAAACCAGGUGUGGAGACUUCACGGCUCGUUGACGGGCUCUCCCGAUGAGCGACAGGUGUUAAGGUGUGAACUAAUGAGGGAGGAGGUCAAGGCUCACAACACACCUCCUUCAGAAAUAAAGGCUGCAGCUCUGAGCUCCGACAGAUAAUGGUUAUCCGUGGGUAAACCCCCCCCCCCUUUCCCCUGACACUUGGAUGUCUGGAGGUGGUUGUUGCUUCAGCAGCGUCUCACUGAGAAGUCUGAAGGUCAGGCCCCAUAAAACACUGCAGACAUCAGAACUGAUGGGUCCCACAUUUGAAGCACCUUUCGUGGAAGCAUCUGUCGGCAGAGCCUGGAGAGUUCAGAUGUCCACAGCUCUACUGGACAGUGUCGCCGCCCCUGCCUCUGCUUCAGCUUGAAACCGUGAGGACACUCGCAGAUGUUCGGCCGAACACAGGAACCUCCGUUCAGACAGACGGGGGUGCAGAGAGCUGGAGGAGGAGAGAGGCAGGAGCAUCAGCACCGAGUGAUCUCACCACUGGACACCAGAUCUGGCAAACCUGCGACUGAAUACCCUUCGUGAAUGAAAAGAGCAGGUGCAUUAUAUGCCGAGGGAGCAGCAUGCCUUUGGGGCAGGGGCCGCAGCCAUAGGACCCAAAGUUAUUGAAGCACUGGACUCCCGGGAAACAGGGCUUUCUCUCACACUCGUUGAUAUCUUCCAGGCAUGUCUUACCUGUCAAAAAACAUGCACACAGGAAAUAACUGGGAUUGAUUAUCUGCAGCUGCAAAGGCACCGAUAAAUAUAAAGGACAGUCAUCCAGUCUGACCUCUCAACCCUGCAGGACACUCGCAUCUGUGCCCGCUGACUGUGUUGAUGCACUUGCCGGCCGUGCACGGAGCCGACAAGCAUUCGUCUAUGUCCUCGUCGCAGAGCUCACCCUGCUGACCCCCGGGACACACACACAGGUAUUUCCCACUGCCGGCAGGGAAGUGGACGUCUGUCACGCAGGUGCCUCCAUUUUGACAGCCGCACGGCACCACAUCAACCUGUGGUAUAGACGGGAAAAGGGACACCGUUGAAGUGGAGCCUGUUUUCUAUUGCUAUAGUGAAGGUGCUCUGCGCGUUGCACUCGUCAGACAGCGUGAAUCGGAAUGAGCGGCUCGAAUGACGCCCCCCCUCCUCCAGAAGCACCGGGACCCUCCAGAUAAGGAGGCCAGCUGGGGAGAGAACAGCCCCCUUUGGACCCUCCUCCAGUUGGAAGAGGAGCGCCGAGCCCUCGGGGUCCGAUGCCGCGAACUGGAAGACAAAGUUCUCCCCGGCAAAAGUUCGCAGGUUGCUGUGAGGUCGGUGGAACGCCGGUGGCUCGUUGACUGCCAGUGGAGGGAAAAAGUGGAGAAACAGGCUAAAAAACUUGCUUCCUGUCCUGAAAUAAACCCUUCAGAAGUGAGUUUGGUUUGGCUAAAGCAUUUCUCCAGGCUGUUCCUGGAAGAAUCAUUGUAAACACACAUGUCCGUCCAUCUUCUCUUUCCAGCCGGGGCUCUCAACAGCCAUUUCAACAAGAUCAUGUAGCGUCCCCCAACCACUCGGAUCCCGCUCUUGCCACAGAUGUUCAACAGGAAGAAAGUGAUGAUAAUCCCAGGAAAGAUCUGCUCAGCAUGAUGGUCUUGUGUUAAGAAAUCAGCAGGAGAACACUUGCUGAUUAAUAAGAUUAUUACCGUUUCUGAAUUCCAAAACUAACUGCUGAGAAAUAAGCAAAAAGUCUGGCAAUGCGGUGAGAUAAUUACUCUUGCAUCCAACAUAAAUCAACUUGUCUCUUUUCUUGAUACUGUCACUUUCAUCUGCCUUAUUUUGUCUCGGAAAAACAAACAGUCCAACUGCACAGGGUGAAGAGGAAUUAUCUCAUUGCUUGAGACAUUACCAUUCAAAGAAAAUUCAGGCUUUUAAGGCCUGACGUGAGACUGACUGACGUUUUAAGGCGGCCGUUCAUUGCAGUGCACAGCCACAGUGUACGGCUGACGUGAUUUGUCGGGUGUGAGGAAGGGUAAUUGUGAGUCUAUGUUGUCGUGGAAAUCAACCAUGUGAGUUUUUUAAACCCCCUCUUCUCCCCUCCCCCCUCUCCCAGUGUGGUUAAGCGACAGGUCAGGGCAUGCUGGGAAACUUCAACCUCCGCUCCUUUGAUCCGCUAAUCGGGACAAACGGGACCACAGUUGGACAGCUUCCACAGUGACAGACUACCAUGACGGCCA